GCCGGGCGUGGUGGCGCACGCCUUUAAUCCCAGCACUUGGGAGGCAGAGGCAGGUGGAUUUCUGAGUUCGAGGCCAGCCUGGUCUACAGAGUGAGUUCCAGGACGGCCAGGGCUACACAGAGAAACCCUGUCUCAAAAAAAACAAAAAAACAAAAAAACAAACAAAAAAACAAAAAGAAAAACAAGAUAUUGACAGUUUCUCUGUAUAGCCCUGGCUUUCUGGAACUCACUUUGUAAACCAGGCUGGCUUUGAACUCAGAAAUCCACCUGCCUCU
This 275-nucleotide signal recognition particle RNA is filed under the name Mus spicilegus (steppe mouse). Its description in RNAcentral is "Metazoan signal recognition particle RNA (ENSMSIG00000000416.1)". It matches the Rfam family "Metazoan signal recognition particle RNA". From Rfam's summary of the family: The signal recognition particle (SRP) is a universally conserved ribonucleoprotein. It is involved in the co-translational targeting of proteins to membranes. The eukaryotic SRP consists of a 300-nucleotide 7S RNA and six proteins: SRPs 72, 68, 54, 19, 14, and 9. Lineage: Eukaryota; Metazoa; Chordata; Mammalia; Rodentia; Muridae. The record is from RNAcentral.